AACGAACGCUGGCGGCAUGCCUAACACAUGCAAGUCGAACGAACCCUUCGGGUUUAGUGGCGCACGGGUGCGUAACGCGUGGGAACCUGCCCUUUGGUUCGGAAUAACUCCCCGAAAGGUGUGCUAAUACCGGAUAUUCUCUUCGGACCAAAGAUUUAUCGCCUUUGGAUGGGCCCGCGUUGGAUUAGCUAGUUGGUUGGGUAAUAGCAUACCAAGGCGACGAUCAAUAGCUGGUCUGAGAGGAUGAUCAGCCACACUGGGACUGAGACACGGCCCAGACUCCUACGGGAGGCAGCAGUGGGGAAUAUUGGGCAAUGGGCGAAAGCCUGAAGCAGCAAUGCCGCGUGAAUGAUGAAGGUCUUAGGAUUGUAAAGUUCUUUAACCGGGGAAGAUAAUGACGGUACCGGGAGAAGAAGCUCCGGCUAACUCCGUG
This 433-nucleotide ribosomal RNA is filed under the name uncultured bacterium. RNAcentral's name for it is "partial 16S ribosomal RNA". It matches the Rfam family "Bacterial small subunit ribosomal RNA", at positions 29 to 507 of the family's 1533-position model. The record is from RNAcentral.